Molecule: long non-coding RNA, 1889 nt
Organism: Antechinus flavipes (yellow-footed antechinus)
Lineage: Eukaryota; Metazoa; Chordata; Mammalia; Dasyuromorphia; Dasyuridae
Exons: 2
Source: RefSeq, a predicted model, not a curated record
UUGAUGAAUAACUGCAGUUGGGUUUUCGAAGUCUCUUCUAAUAAUAGUUUGAAUAAGUGCCAUCUCUACUGCCUUCAAGAGCCUCUUUUGCAUCUGGAGUUAGUUGUCAUCUUCUGGAGUUACUUCAGGCUGAUAAAGGGAGUAGAGAAGGCCCUGCCUAGCAGAGUCCAGACUGCAGAGGGGAAAUGUGUGACUUGAAGAUGAUGGCAGCGGUAUGCAGGGCCUUCUGAGAUUCAGAAUCAGGUAGGAGUUGGUAUUCAGGUUGAACAAGAGUUUGGAAGUUGAUGUCCUGGAGCCUAGAAGAGACAAAGCUCAACAAAGAUUGAUAGAUGAUUCCACUUUUGCUGUUUAUGACUGGGGGGAAUUCCCUCAUUGCCUAAAACAACCUUGGUACACAGGAACUUUCCAGUACAUAGGCAAGGCAAUAAGUUGUCAAAUGAGAAGUAACUUCUUUUUACUAGGACCUACCAAUGUCUGAUGUCCCUCUCUUUGUGGCACGAGAGUGGAGAAAAGUGCAAGGAUGGAGACAGGAGAGAUGGAGACCUUUCUUAGGACAGGGAGUUCCUCCCUCUGUCCAAUUGUUAGCAACUAUUAGCAGCUCCAUAAAUAUACUGGAAAAAAAUUUGUAUGACACCUAGUCAUUUAAAAAAUUCUAAACUAUAUUUAAAAAAGCACACAAAUGAAGACAUAAAGGAUUUUAUGCUAAAAUCAUUCUUAAAACUUUUGCUUUAAAAAAAAUUAUAAGUACCAGAAGAUGGCAGUAUCACUAUAGGAUAGGCUUAAUACUAAAUUUUAAGAGAAAAAAAGAAAACUAAAAAGUAGUAACUGUUUUUUAAGAAGCUCACAGUCUACUGAGGUAAAAAUAUGAAAACAACUUAUAAAAGGAGAAAUUAGAUAUUGAAAUAGUAAGGCAUAACAUAUAUGUAUAAUAUAUAUAUAUAUUAUAUUAUAUAUAGUAAAUAGAGGGAAAACAUAGGUAUUAACACAAUCAGCAAAGGCUUCUUGACAAAGGUGGGAAUUUAACUGUGAUCUGAAGUUAUGAGAAAUGAAAAUUAAUAACCAAUAAAUUGUGAAGUGAUUCAGAGCUCUUGGUGGGAAUGGUAAUUUAGUUUCCACAGAGUUAUCAAAAUUGAAUUAGAGAAAUACAGAGAAAUGAAACAAAUUAGGAAAUUGAAACAGAAGAAUUGGAAAUUAGAUUGCUAGGAUAUGAAUGAGGAAAUAAAAAUUAAAAGGGAAAAAGUAAUGGGGGGGGGAUCAGACUUGCAAAUGUUUCUAAGCAGAGGUGGAGAAUACUUACACUUGAGGAUGUAGUUGUAUUGAUGAGAUCAGAGGAGGAGACUUAGGAAAACAUGAGAGAAUUAGAAUUUUCCGAGAUGAUACUAUUCAGCCAAUAGGGAAACAGAGUAAGAGCUUAACUAUGUUCAAAUAAAGAAGAAGCCAUGGAAGCAAUUGUGAUGGAAUCAGGUAGAGAUUCACAUUCACAUGGGGAGAAUAUUCACUCUUAAUAGGUUGUGACUUCUGGUACGCAACAAAUGGGGCAUCUAAAGAAGGACUUGCAUUUUGGAUAUAAAAAAGGACAGGUAUUGAUUCCAAGUUUGAUAGGAUACUCAUCUGCUGUUGUGUAAAGACUUUUAAAUCUAUCCUUCCCCAAAUCCAAUGAGUUAUUUCUCCUACUUUCUUCGAAAGUCCUUUAAAAGUUCAGUUCUUCACAAGGAAAGUACUUAUGAGAUUGCAGUAACUCUCCUCAAUGUCAGGCAGACUACACCCAACCUUAUAAAGAAUUUAAUCUAAAUUUGGGAAACCUGUACUGUUCUGCUCAUGCUUGGCUUCAAGAACACAAAAAAGGAUGAGGAGAAAGGAAACCUUAAGAGCAAGCAAGGAAGUAAGAG